RNAcentral lists this long non-coding RNA (217 nucleotides) under Manihot esculenta (cassava). RNAcentral describes it as "long non-coding RNA (MESC_LNC005477)". Lineage: Eukaryota; Viridiplantae; Streptophyta; Magnoliopsida; Malpighiales; Euphorbiaceae. The record is from RNAcentral.
CAAGACAGGACUCCACAUCCUAUCCUAGUGGACAUGACCUUCCUAUUGUGCUUGACCUUCUAGAACAUCUAUGAGCCCGACACUCUAGGUCCGAUCCUAUGAACCUAGGGCUCUGAUACCAUUCUGUAACGACCCGAAAAUCGGACCGCUACCGGCGCUAGGAUCCGGGUCGACUUAAGGCCGCCGGGACCCGUAGCAAGCCAAACAUACAUCCUGG